Molecule: ribosomal RNA, 420 nt
Filed under: bacterium
Lineage: Bacteria
Description: partial 16S ribosomal RNA
Rfam family: Bacterial small subunit ribosomal RNA
Source: RNAcentral
UGGGGGAUAUUGCACAAUGGGCGAAAGCCUGAUGCAGCGACGCCGCGUGGGGGAUGAAGGCUUUCGGGUUGUAAACCUCUUUCGCUAUCGAACAAGGCCCGCCUAGGGUGGGUUGAGGGUAGGUGGAGAAGAAGCGCCGGCUAACUACGUGCCAGCAGCCGCGGUAAUACGUAGGGCGCGAGCGUUGUCCGGAAUUAUUGGGCGUAAAGGGCUUGUAGGCGGCUUGUUGCGCCUGCUGUGAAAACGCGGGGCUUAACUUCGCGCGUGAAGUGGGUACGGGCAGGCUUGAGUGUGGUAGGGGUGACUGGAAUUCCAGGUGUAGCGGUGGAAUGCGCAGAUAUCUGGAGGAACACCGAUGGCGAAGGCAGGUCACUGGGCCAUUACUGACGCUGAGGAGCGAAAGCAUGGGUAGCGAACAGG